RNAcentral lists this long non-coding RNA (924 nucleotides) under Ovis aries (sheep). RNAcentral's name for it is "lncRNA (ENSOARG00000025442.1)". The record is from RNAcentral. Lineage: Eukaryota; Metazoa; Chordata; Mammalia; Artiodactyla; Bovidae.
UUAUUUUGUAUCUAAAAAUUAUCUGUCUCAGAGCAAAGCUAACAUUGCUUUAAUUAGCUUUAUAGGCAGAAGUGUUGACAUGGAUUAUUUAUAGUCAGAAAUAUUCUAAGUGCCUUCCCACAGGGAAUGGCAACAGAAAUUAUGUUUCUUCUUCUCACUGGGAUAUCUUGUAGCCAUUAAAAAGAAUGUUUUUGUAGGUUAUGUAAUAUCAUGGAAAAACGCUCAUGGAAAUGUUUAGUGGAAAAAAGCUGAGUAAGACUACAAUUUUAUAAAAGGAAAAAAAGUAUGAAUAAUAGUCUGGAAGAAAAAUUGCUGAAAUGUUAGCAAUGACUGUGAUUGUGAAGACUAUGGAUGGUCUAUUUUCUCAUAUUAUCUUCUUCAUUCCCAAUAUUCUUAAAGCUAAUAUGAAAUAUUUUUGAAAAAAAUCUACAAAAGCAAAGACUCUCUGAAAAAUUACAUUUGUAAUCUGGAUAUAAUUUAAAGAGUUAGUCUUGGGCAACAUGACUGAGGCUAUGAUACUUCUCAGCCCCUGCAAAGGGGGAGGAACUCUCUAAAGUUCUAAAACUGAAGAGUUGUCAGUGACCUCAUCUAUUAUGAAAAUCACUGAAGACUCUGAUGGGGACCACAGGGGAAGAGUCCAGAAGCAUUGGUCAACCAGAGCUUAUUCCUGGAACCAAAUUCAGGAAAAUGGAUACGCGCCCUCACCCACUGCACUCUGGGAAGAACAAACUCCUGGAUUACAAAUAUAGACAACUGGAUUUUUCUGGGUCGGCCCUGGUGAAUACCACCUGCCAAAGAUUGCUGUGGAAACAGAUUUUGACCCCCAGCCAAAAUGUUGGCCCCAUGAAGGUAAGGACUGUGUUUGUCUUAUGGCUUUAUGCUCAGCAAUCAGCAUACCUGCCAGUAUACACAGGAAUCACUUAG